CAGUAGGGAGGAAGGUAGUGUAGUUAACACCUGCAUUAUUUGUACGUUACCUACAGAAGAAGCACCGGCUAACUCGUCGCCAGCAGCCGCGGUAAGUACGGAGGGUGCGAGCGUUAAUACGGUAAUUACGUGGGACGUAAAGACGCAUGCAGGCGGCCUGUUAAGUCAGAUGUAGAAACGGACCCGGGGACCGUUUAACCUACGGUAAGUUGCUAUUUAGUAAACGUAGGCGAGGCUAGAGUCUUGUAGAGGGGGGUAGGAAUUUCAGGUGUAGCGGUGAAAUGCGUAGAGAUCUGAAGGAAUACCAGUGGCGAAGGCGGCCCCCUGGACAAAGACUGACGCUCAGAUGCGAAAGCGUGGGGAGCAAACAGGAUUAGAUACCCUGGUAG
This 389-nucleotide ribosomal RNA is filed under the name uncultured bacterium. RNAcentral describes it as "bacterial SSU rRNA". It matches the Rfam family "Bacterial small subunit ribosomal RNA", at positions 434 to 793 of the family's 1533-position model. The record is from RNAcentral.